Molecule: RNA transcript, 5277 nt
Organism: Rosa chinensis
Lineage: Eukaryota; Viridiplantae; Streptophyta; Magnoliopsida; Rosales; Rosaceae
Gene name: disease resistance protein At4g27190
Exons: 11
Source: RefSeq, a predicted model, not a curated record
UUUGGUUCAUACUCUAUCUUGUUUUAAGCAGAGAAUUUGAAGGAGGAACAUACCUUUAUUCAUACGUCAUUACCAAACAACUAAGACAUGUGGUUUCUUGCUGCAAUUACUGGAGUUGUUGGAAAGAUUGCUGAGUUCACAGUUCCACCAGUUAUACGCCAAGUGGGUUAUGUAAUCCACUACAACAAGAACCUCAAAAAACUAGAGAGUCGAGUAGAUGACUUGGGUGAGGCCAGAGAAAGAAUGAAGCAUGCUGUUGAAACAGAGAAAAGAAAAGGUAGAGAAAUUGAAGCAGGUGUCCAGAACUGGCUGACUAAAGUGGAUGAGAUGAUUGAAAAAGCAAACAAUUUCUUGAAAGAUGGACAGCAUGCAGAGACUAGAUGUCUCCAUGGCUUUUGUCCUAAUCUAAAGCAUCGCCAUCAUCGCAGCAGGAAAUCAACAAAAUUGGUUAAAGAAGUUGCUGAGCUCUGUGGGAAAAAGGAUUUUGGCGAUAUUGCAUACGAUGUCGAACCAGAGGAGGUGUGCAGCACACCUGCUAAAGAUUACCAGGUCUUUGAUUCAACGACUUCGGUUGCGAAGGAAAUCAUGAAUGAACUGAGACAAUCUGAUACCGACAUAAUUGGGGUGUACGGUAUUGGGGGUGUGGGGAAGACAACGCUUGCUACAGAAGUUUAUCGGCAAGCCACAGAAGAUAAAACUUUAUUUGAUGAUGUUGUUAUAGUACAAGAUGUGAAAAACAUUCCAGAUUUGCAUGGAAUUCAAAAAAGAAUUGCUGAAAAGUUGGGAAUGGACUUUCUCGGAGAUGAGACUACAGACAAAAGAGCUAGUCGUCUUUUUAGUAGGAUAAAAAAGAAUAAAGUUCUGGUAAUUUUGGAUGACAUACAUGCAAAAAUAGAUUUGGAGAUUGUGGGAGUUCCACGUGUGUCGAAUUGUAAAGUAUUGUUGACAUCUAGAACUAGAGAAGUAUUAUCGGGUGAGAUGCAUACACAAAAGGAGUUUCAACUUGACCUUUUAGAUGCAAAAGAAAACUGGAGUUUAUUUGAGAAGAUGGCAGGUGAUGUUGUUCAAAAUCCUGCCAUACGAGAAGUAGCAAUAGAAGUAGCCCAAAAGUGCGGAGGCUUGCCGCUUUUAGUGGUAACAGUUGCAAGGGCCCUGAAGGAUAGAAGUGCAUUAUAUGCUUGGAAAGAUGCCGUGCGACGCCUAAAAAUAUUUGAUAAAGAAGGAUUCACGGAAAAAUCAUACUUGGCUCUGGAGUGGAGUUACGAGCAAUUGGAUGAUAAGGAACUUAAGCCAUUGUGCUUGCUAUCUGGAAUUAUGAGGGAUUACUCUAUGAAUCUUCUUGACUUGCUGAAAUACAGUAUGGGCUUAGGUUUGAUUAAAAACGUGGAUACGAUGGAAGAAGCACAGAAUGCACUACAUUCACUGGUUGAAAAACUUAAAGAUUCUUGUCUAUUGCUAGAAGACAGUGAUAAUAAUAAAUAUUUUAGAAUGCAUGAUCUUGUUCAUGAAGUUGUAAACCAGAUUGCCUUGAGAGAGCAACAUGUCUUCAAAGUUACUAUUGGAGAUGAGUUCAAAGAAUGGCCAGCUAAGGACUUUUGUAAAAAGAGCACUAUGAUCAUUCUUGAUAACUACAGUAUUCCCCAUCUUCCUGAAGGUUUGGAAUACCCAGAACUGGAAAUGAUUACCUUUUGUAGUAGCGAUUUUGAUCACUGCUUGGAAAUUCCCAGAAACUUUUUUGAAGGGAUGAAGAAACUCAAAGUGUUGGACUUCACUAAUUUGAGUAUCCCAACGCUACCUCCAUCUCUCCAAUUCCUAAAAAGUCUUCGGACAUUGUGUUUGGAUGCCUGCACCUUGGGAGACCUAGCUUUAGUUGGAGAGCUAAGAAACUUAGAAAUGCUUAGCUUUUUAAAAUCCAAGUUUAGAAAGUUGCCCGAAGAAAUAGGGCAAUUGACACGUCUGCGAUUGUUGGAUUUGAAUGGUUGCUCUCAACUCGAAGUGAUUUCACCUAAUGUUAUAUCAAACUUGAAAAGGUUAGAAAACUUGAGAAUGGGUGAUAGCUUCAACCGAUGGGAGGGUGAAGAAGUCAUCAGUAGUGAAAGAAGAAAUGCACACCUUGAAGAGCUAAAGCACUUGCCUCAGCUAACUGCUUUACAAAUACAUAUCUCAGAUGCUAACAUCGUUCCAGCAGAUUUGUUUACCACUAGUGAGUUAAAGAGAUUCCAAAUAUGUAUUGGUUCUGCGUGGAAAUGGGAUAAUGUGGAUGAAGCCCUCAAUGUACUAAAGCUCCGACUCACCGCUAGCAAUGAAUUGGACCAAGGUCUAAGAAUGUUGCUAAAAAGAACUGAAGACUUGUACUUGGAGGGGACGGAGGCUGUUAAUAAUAGUAUUGUCUAUCAAAUAGGUGUCGAAGGUUUUCAGAAAUUGAAGCAUCUCCAUCUCCAAACGACUGCCGAGUUUACGUAUAUCAUAAAUGGGAAGGUUAGGUAUCCCAACUUGACAUGGUUGGGGGUGAAUGAACUCAAUGGUUUAACAUUCUUGUUAUCAUCUUCAAUGGCUAGAAGCCUUGCACAACUCAAACGCCUUCAUGUAUCAGGAUGUCAAAUAAUGGAAGAGAUAGUAUCAAUAGAAGAAUCUGAUGAAGAAAUUGUAGACAACUUCUUUUGCCAGCUACAAAUUCUGGAGCUAAAAGACCUUCCAAAUCUCACUAAAUUCUGCUCAAGAAACCAUAUUGAACUUUCAAAUCCAUCCUCUGGGAUACAACACUUUCUUUUUGACAAUAAGGUAGAGUUUCCAAACUUGAAGAAGUUAUCCAUUGAUGGUCUAGCAAACUUGACGACAAUAUGGAACAAUCAAUUUUCUCUAGAGAGUUCAAAAAAUCUAGAGAUAAUUGAAAUUGUUUCAUGUGACAGUUUGAAAAGUAUUUUUCCAGUUUUGGUGGCUAGAAAUCUCCAGCAGUUAAAAAGGCUGACAGUGAAGAGUUGUGGAGCUCAGGAAAUUGUUGCAAAGGAAGAGUCACUACAAACAACACCUAAGUUUGUGUUUCCAAAAGUAACAGAAGUGAUUUUUAGUGAUAUGUCACAACUCAAGAAUUUCUACCCAGGAAUGCAUGUGUCCGGCUGGCCGUCUCUUAAUAAGUUGAGGGUGGUAGAAUGUGCUAAAGUCAAUGUAUUUGCCGAGGAAAUCUCAAGUUUUCAAGAACAUAAUGAGCCGGAACGUCUUAGUGUUCUUAUCUCGCAGUCUCUCUUUUUAAUUGAUAAGGAUUCAUUUCCCAACUUGGAAUGGUUGUUCGUGAGAGCAAUGGAGCCACUCCCAGCAGCAGCAGCGCAAUUGUUUAGCAAACUAAAGCAUCUUGAGGUUUGUUGUCCGGAGUCCAAGUCAGUUGUUUUCCUUCACAAAUCACUCGACUCAGAAGGAAACAGCAAUAGUAGUGCAGUUGGGAUUGGGACCCAGCAGCUCCCACAUUUAAAAGAGUUGUGGCUUCUUCGAAUGGAGAAGCUGACGAAUCUAGGCCAAGAUGAUGAAGAGGAUAACUUACAAUCAGCCCCCCGCAUCCCAAAUUUUCCCAACUUGGAAAUUCUAUACGUGAAUGGUUGCGACAGCUUAAGGAAUCUUAGAUCAUCAGCAAUAUCCUUCAACACUCUAACAACUCUGCAAGUAAGUGUUUGCAAGGGGCUGAAAUACUUGAUAACUUACUCCAUGGCCAAAAGUUUAACGCAGCUCACAGAAUUGGAAGUUGUGGAGUGUAAGAGACUGGUAUAUAUAGUGGCAAGCAAUGAAGAUGACGAUUCAUUAGGAAAUUAUGAGAUUACAUUCAGGCGGCUGAAACAUAUGAAACUAUCAAGUCUACCAAGAAUGCAAGGCUUUUGCUCCAGAAAUUGCAUUGCUAAAUUCCCGUCCUUGAAAACUUCAAGCAUGAGCAACCGCCUCAAAUUGAAGAUUUUCGAAGCUCAUAACCAAACGCUACAGCUAACGGACGAAGAGGCAGACACAGAUGUCGAUUACUUCGAGGCAAGUCUGAUUGCUGAGGAUAAAAGGAAUUCGGCAAGUACUGAUUGAUAUCUUAACCAGAUUUCACUGCUUUGUUGACUAUGAAUAAGGCUUUUAGGAGUAAGAAAUAAGAAUAAAGGUUGAUUUGACAGUGAAGCUCCAAAACUCCAGAAAUCAUUACCGUGUCUGAGAGGCUUCUCAUCAUUUCUGCUUUUAAAUAGUGAAGCUCAUCCAAGUUAUCAAGAUGAGGUGGACAUCGAGUUUUUGGGGACUGCAUUUUGAACGCCUAUACUAUACAGACCAAUGUUUACAUCAGAAAUAUUAAAGUGAUCAAUUUAUCAAGGACCGAACACAAUUUGCCAAGAGCCCUGCAAAUCAUGAAGUUCCGAUUUUCCUGCUCAAAGUCUUAUCUCCUCCAGUAGGAAUCAUUGAUGAUAGUAACUUAACUGUUUAGUCGGAGCUAAAAUCAAAUAGACAAAUUGUGGAUGAAAGUCUGUUCAAAGAUAGCAAGAUGGAUGUGACCAAGGUACAGAUAGAUGGUUUAAUGCAGAAGUAGGAAUGGACUGUACAUGAGGUGUCUGUAGCAAAAUCAGCUUCAGAUAUCAUUAUGAAAUGAUAUCGGAGGUUAUGGAUGGAUCUGAUGAAAAGAUCUCAGUUGAGGAUGAAAGAACCUCAUUGUGAAGGAGCACAAGAUUUGGUAGUUGUGAAAGAUUCUAAUUAUGUUACUACUGUUCAAUAUGUGUUGCCACAUACAGUAAACAAAGCCCCAAGUGUUGUGAAAACUGUUGAGCCCAUUUCAUUGACUCUGAGUUCAAUUCCCACUAAGAGACCGGCAAGCAAGAGUUUUGAUGUGAAUGUGGCUGCCACUGUGAUAGAGCCUAAAGAAGCUUCAAGGUUGAGGCAUUGGGUGAUUACGAUGGGAAAUUAUAUUUUGAAUCAGGUUCCAGCGCGGAAGAUGAUUAUGAGAAUGAGGGCACUGAAGAUGAGGUAGUGGCUGAAGCUUCAUAUGAGCUUUAGGAUAACAUAAAUGCUAUCAUGGAGGCAAGUGAAGAAGAAGAUCCUGAGGAUGAGAUCUCUGAAGAUGAGUCGGUUGAUGAAGCUUCAUCUGAGCUUCAGGAUAACAUGAAUGAUAUCAGGAAACAAAUGAAGAGGAAGGCUGUUGCCUCUGAGAGUGAGACAGUAUAGUGUUUAUGUAGCCUACUUAGAAUUUACAUUUUUGAAAUGUGUCAAUAUGCACUGACAUAUCUUUUGGAUCGAUUGAACUAAUUCUAAUUUUCUUUUAUUAAAUGA